CCUACGGGAUGCAGCAGUGAGGAAUAUUGGUCAAUGGGCGCGAGCCUGAACCAGCCAAGUAGCGUGAAGGCUGACUGCCCUACGGGUUGUAAACUUCUUUUAUAAAGGAAUAAAGUGAGGCACGUGUGCCUUUUUGUAUGUACUUUAUGAAUAAGGAUCGGCUAACUCCGUGCCAGCAGCCGCGGUAAUACGGAGGAUCCGAGAGUUAUCCGGAUUUAUUGGGUUUAAAGGGAGCGUAGAUGGGUUGUUAAGUCAGUUGUGAAAGUUUGCGGCUCAACCGUAAAAUUGCAAUUGAUACUGGCAGUCUGGAGUGGGCGAGAGGUAUGCGGAAUGCGUGGUGUAGUGGUGAAAUGCAUAGAUAUCAAGCAGAACUCCGAUUGCGAAGGCAGCAUACCGGCGCCCAACUGACGCUGAAGCACGAAAGCGUGGGUAUCGAACAGGAUUAGAUACCCUUGUAGUC
RNAcentral lists this ribosomal RNA (460 nucleotides) under uncultured bacterium. Its description in RNAcentral is "partial 16S ribosomal RNA". It matches the Rfam family "Bacterial small subunit ribosomal RNA", at positions 338 to 795 of the family's 1533-position model. The record is from RNAcentral.